RNAcentral lists this unclassified non-coding RNA (240 nucleotides) under soil metagenome. RNAcentral describes it as "partial contains 5.8S ribosomal RNA, internal transcribed spacer 2, and large subunit ribosomal RNA". The record is from RNAcentral.
AACGGUCUAUACCUGCGGUACCUGCGGAGGGAUCAUUACUGAAUUGAUUUUGGGGAUGUUGCUGGUCUCUUGAGGCAAUGGUGCACUCCCUCAAACAUUUCACAAUUUCCAUCUUACCCAUGUGCACAUCCUGUAGGUGGUCUCCCAACCCACCCUCCAAGGAAAGGGGGGGAGUGUGUGGGUCUGGUCUCCUAUGUAUUUCCUUGCCAACAUCACACGUUUCGACUGAAUGAAUCCUGU